UCUGGCAGCAUCUGUGCAGGAGAAAACAGAGUUAACGUUUCGGGUCCGGUGAGGAUAUUGAGGAAGGUUCACUGGACCCGAAACGCUAACUCUGAUCUGAUCAAGUUAGAUCAGAGAGAAGGGAGAGGCAAGAUCACAUGAGGAAGAUUGAAACUCGCUCUAAAACCCUCCGUGUAACUAAAUUAUGAGCCCACAAGGAAGUGUAACUAAAUUAUGUGCACAUAAGGAAGCCACAAGACUUCGAGGGCUGAGGUGGAAGGGCCCAUAUCAAGUUCUACUGACUACCCGAACAGCGAUCAAAGUACAAGGAAAACCAGACUGGAUCCACGGGACUAGGUGCAAAUUUGAUCAAGGUUCCCUCUCUGAUUCGAUAUCAUGAAGCUGAUCCUGAUUUUACUGGGACUCUUGGGUCUUAGCAGCCCCAGGACUAGCAUAAGGAAUGGACUUUGCAUAACUUCUUUUUGUCAUUAAGCUAUGAAUAUGCUAUACAUUUAAAUAUGUCCUCCUGUUGGGUCUGCACUCAUGUGCCAACAGACUCGACAAAGGGAAUUUCAUUACAAUCUAUUCCUUUUAAUGCCCCUGAAGUACCCGAAUGGGUAUUGAGACAAAAUAGCUCAGAAUCAGGAGAGAGAGAGAAGGAUCAACUACCAAUGACAGAUGCUACGUGGUAAAUACAGACCCAGAUAGGGCACCCCCCCCCUUAUUUCACCCUUGGCCAUAAAGCAGACCAAUAUAUUUCUCUUUGCUUUACACGGAAUGAGACACAGAGGAAAGGCACAUUUAUGGGAGAGUGAUCAUGCCAGCAAUACUAAAACGUUACCCCUGUUUUCAGUAGUAACUACACUUGAACUCAAAUUGACUCACGCGUAACCUUCUUGGGCCGUGGACGUAGUCUUUUGAGAUUUACCAAUCUCAGCAACAAUCAGUCAUGGGCCCAGGUACGGUCUUACACGUUUGUAACUCAACUUGUGCCCUAUAAUGGUACCUAUUUUGUUUGUGGCCAUCGUGCAUACGCCUGGUUGCCCCCAACUUGGACAGGAUCAUGUUAUAUGGCCUAUAUAGUUCCUCACAUUCGCCAUUCGUCCACUAUACCCUUACCCCAAGGAUGUGGGAAACAAAAACGAGAUAUGACUGAAACUGAACGAUUUUGGAUGAUCACCUUCCCUAUAUAUGGGACUGGUAAAGCUACUCGUGAAUUGAUUACUAUGGCCUUAGGUCUUGAACAAAUUGCCAAUGCUACCAAGCUCCUGGCCGAUGGCUUAGACAGUACCACUAAAGCCAUAUCUCAUUUGUCUUCUGAGCUGGUCACUGUCAGGACAGUUGCAUUACAAAAUCGAUUCACAUUAGACUUCUUUUUAGCAGAGAAAGGUGGCACCUGUGCGGUAAAAGGAUGAGAAUGUUGUACUUAUAUUCCUGACAAAGCAGAAAAUAUUACCCAUUUAGCUGAUCAUAUCCAGGAAGGUGUUAAAAAGGUAAAGAAAAUUGCACAGAAUAUAGGCGAAGAAUUCCAUAACUACAAUCCUGGGACAGGAUGGUGGCUAUUUGGGACUUGAUGAGGGACAUUAGUUCACUAUGGCAUCAUACUUAUUAUUGUUAUUAUUUGUGUGAUAGCAUUGUGCUUAAUUUGUUCAUUUAUCCCUCACCCACAACCACUCCGGUCCCUUUCUUUCCCAAGAUUAUGCAUUAUUCACCAGAGUAUGAUGAGGAGGCCUCUUUAAGCAUGUGCCCCUAUCCCACUGGAUACGAUCGCCCAUUUGCAGACGAAGAUUAAAGGAUGUAGGAUCAAAAGGGAGGGAAUUGUGGAAGAAAUUAGCAUGUUGUACGGGGUUCGAGAAAAGUCAGUGUCAAAAAGGCAAAAAGACUACGUGACAGACAGAACAUUAAAAGGAAGCGUCAACCCAAAGUGUUCAAACACCCCUCAUUCUUAGUAACUGCUAUCUUAGUAAAACCUAAUCACAUUUUUGCCCUAGUCAAUAAAAUAAGUGCAUGUUAGCUAAACAUUAACAGAAGUAUAAAGCCUGAAGCUCAGAAAGGUGGAGGAGAUUUCUGGAGAACGUUAAGCUUUGGACUGUGAGAUCGCUUACCUAUCAUGUUGACUUGUUUGUCUCUCUCCAUAAAUACCCUGUAACAUUGCAUUGCUGCAGAGUCUUUGGCAUCUAACCUUUGUUAGCGUUGACUCUCCGUGAUAUCACAAAUAAAAAGUUCUCUUUACCUGGAA
This is a long non-coding RNA of Rhincodon typus (whale shark), 2218 nucleotides long. RefSeq lists it as uncharacterized. The transcript is spliced from 2 exons. Lineage: Eukaryota; Metazoa; Chordata; Chondrichthyes; Orectolobiformes; Rhincodontidae. The record is from RefSeq and is a predicted model, not a curated record.